Molecule: long non-coding RNA, 797 nt
Organism: Oreochromis aureus
Lineage: Eukaryota; Metazoa; Chordata; Actinopteri; Cichliformes; Cichlidae
Exons: 3
Source: RefSeq, a predicted model, not a curated record
UACACUGUGGCAGCAACAGAAACGCUGUUUUAAGCCAUAUUUGUUUACAAUUUGAAAAGUAAAGUUUGCCGAACUAAUUAUGAGCUGUUAUCGUUGCUGUGCAGCAGUGGAAAUACUGAAAACUGUCACUGGAUUACUUUAAUGUUGAAGAAAUAUUUUAAACCAGAAAAUUCUGGUUCCAAAUCACCAUAAUGAGAAGCCCACGUCAUUCCUAAGAAAAAGCUCUCCUCCUGAGGGUCAGGAAUGGUUUCCAGGUAGGCAGCGAUAGAUGACCGAGUGAAGUUAAAUCCAUGAAUACCAUCUUCUGGAAACACCAGGAUCUGGGCCCCCUGAGAGUGAAACGAAGAUGACAGAGAGAGAUGAGUAUUUCCAAAACAAUAAGAAGAGAGAGAAGGACCUCUCCAACAACCUCUACCGACUCCUGUUAAGCCCACAGACCAGCCAUCUCUGCAAUCUCUUCAUCCAACUGCUAGCCAUGUCAUCUGCCAGGCUUUAAAAUAAGAGGAGAAAGAGUAAGUUUUGUUUGGCAUGGUAUGUCUUAAGAUUCUUACGUUUGUUGCAUAUGUUGUUCUAGAGAAAUUACAAACCAGUGCACAGUAUUUUGUUCACGAGUUAUUUUGCUGCAUUUUGGUGGCCACUCUAAAAUGAUUCUGGUUAAAUACGGUCAGGCCCUGACUUAAGAGGACUUUGUGAUUCACCUUGAUUUGAAACUAAAACUUACUUUGAGAGAAAUGUUCAAAUAUGCAAGUCACCUCACCAACUUUCCCUUUUUGAAUAAAAACUCAUAUUUGAUUUCU